RNAcentral lists this ribosomal RNA (508 nucleotides) under uncultured bacterium. Its description in RNAcentral is "partial 16S ribosomal RNA". It matches the Rfam family "Bacterial small subunit ribosomal RNA", at positions 30 to 523 of the family's 1533-position model. The record is from RNAcentral.
AUUGAACGCUGGCGGCAUGCCUUACACACGCAAGUCGAACGGCAGCGGGGGAGAAGCUUGCUUUUCCUGCCGGCGAGUGGCGAACGGGUGAGUAAUACAUCGGAACGUGCCCUGUAGUGGGGGAUAACUAGUCGAAAGAUUAGCUAAUACCGCAUACGACCUGAGGGUGAAAGUGGGGGACCGCAAGGCCUCAUGCUAUAGGAGCGGCCGAUGUCUGAUUAGCUAGUUGGUGGGGUAAAGGCCUACCAAGGCGACGAUCAGUAGCUGGUCUGGGAGGACGAUAAGCCAAACUGGGACUGAGACACGGCCCAGACUCCUACGGGAGGCAGCAGUGGGGAAUUUUGGACAAUGGGCGAAAGCCUGAUCCAGCAAUGCCGCGUGUGUGAAGAAGGCCUUCGGGUUGUAAAGCACUUUUGUCCGGAAAGAAAUGGCUCUGGUUAAUACCUGGGGUCGAUGACGGUACCGGAAGAAUAAGGACCGGCUAACUACGUGCCAGCCGCCGCAGUAA